Molecule: ribosomal RNA, 119 nt
Filed under: Halomarina oriensis
Lineage: Archaea; Methanobacteriati; Methanobacteriota; Halobacteria; Halobacteriales; Natronomonadaceae
Also listed under: 1 other name
Source: RNAcentral
UAAGGCGGCCACAGCGGCAGGGCGACUCCCGUACCCAUCCCGAACACGGAAGAUAAGCCUGCCAGCGUUCCAGCGAGUACUGGAGUACGAGAGUCUCUGGGAAAACUGACCCGCAAGGG